RNAcentral lists this ribosomal RNA (253 nucleotides) under uncultured bacterium. RNAcentral describes it as "partial 16S ribosomal RNA". It matches the Rfam family "Bacterial small subunit ribosomal RNA", at positions 524 to 776 of the family's 1533-position model. The record is from RNAcentral.
UACAGAGGUCUCAAGCGUUGUUCGGAUUCAUUGGGCGUAAAGGGUGCGUAGGCGGCAGGGUAAGUCUGGUGUGAAAUCCCGGGGCUCAACCCCGGAACUGCACUGGAUACUGCUUUGCUAGAGUACUGGAGAGGGAACUGGAAUUUACGGUGUAGCAGUGAAAUGCGUAGAUAUCGUAAGGAAGACCAGUGGCGAAGGCGAGUCCCUGGACAACACCUGACACUGAGGCACGAAAGCUAGGGGAGCAAACAGG